GGCUAGACUGACAGCUGCCUGAGGACCAUAGAGACGCUCACCUACAGGAGCGCCUAAGAGGCUACGCUGUCCGGGCACAAAAGGACGAGACUUCAAUUCCCGGAGGGAAGACCAACCAGGUGGACCCCCUAACCUCCAGGAAGUGACGAUACAGGGGCGAGCGGCUCCGCAGCCAGGCCUUCCCGAGCGGGGCCUGUCGAGCGGGCCGCGCGCAGCAUGGCGGAAGCGGAAGGGAGUUCUCCGCUCCUGUCGCAGCCGCCGCCGCCCCCUCCUCGGAUGGCGGAAGUAGAAGCGCCGACGGCGGCCGAGACGGACAUGAAACAGUACCACGGGUCCGGUGGCGUCGCCAUGGACGUGGAGCGGAGCCGCUUCCCCUACUGCGUCGUAUGGACGCCCAUCCCGGUGCUCACGUGGUUUUUCCCCAUCAUCGGCCACAUGGGCAUCUGCACAUCCACAGGAGUCAUUCGGGACUUCGCUGGCCCCUAUUUUGUUUCGGAAGACAACAUGGCCUUUGGAAAGCCUGCCAAGUUCUGGAAAUUGGACCCCGCACAGGUAUAUGCUAGUGGGCCCAACGCAUGGGACACAGCUGUGCACGAUGCCUCUGAAGAGUACAAGCACCGAAUGCACAAUCUCUGCUGUGACAAUUGCCACUCACAUGUGGCAUUGGCCCUGAAUCUGAUGCGAUACAACAAUAGCACCAACUGGAACAUGGUGACACUCUGCUUCUUUUGCCUGAUUUAUGGGAAGUAUGUCAGAGGCAGGCUUCCAGACAGUUGAGCUUCUAGGCCAGGCAGAUCUCUGAAGCCACAGCCUCAUGACCUGUGAGACACUCAUCUCGCUUACACUGAGAGAAUUCAGGAUGUGUUGGAGCCUUUGUGAAAACCUGGCUGCCCUUUGUCCUCCUGCUGGGUAUCAUCCUGACCGUCAGUCUCAUCUUCAACCUGCGGUGAUGGCUUUCCAAUGGUCUGAGCUCUCCAGGCCCCCAAGGAGGCCCCUGCCACCCACCCUGGUUCCAGUUCUUUUAUCCCCCACCCCCUUGGGCAGUUGGCUUCCUGGGUUGGAAGUAGGGUCAGGGCUCGAGAUGGAAAUGCUGAUGUAUGAGGUGAGGACACUUAGAGCCUCCUUGUCCUCUCUCCCUGGGCUGUAACCUCACCUUUGUGGCAUCCCCAUUGCUGUCAUGGGAAGGCCUUCCUUUAGAGCACCUGCUGCCACUGCCACUGAGCUGUUUCUGCCAUGCCCAGGACGCAUUGAGGACCCACUGGGCAAAGCCGCGUCCAGAGCUGGAUUUGAAGCUGCUUUCUGACGGGUUGUGUACUGAAGUGGGGUGUGGUGUUCUAAGAAGCACUGCGAGCCAAGAGACUUGGAACCUUCUCUGCUGGCCUAGAAUGGACUGGAAGGGCUGGGCUCUUCUGUGUCUGCUAGAGCUGUGCUAGCAUAUGUACACCCAUUGCCCCUCAUCUGGGCCCUGGCUAGCAAGGUGAACGACCUUACAAGCAAAGUGGGUCCCCUGUAAAUCAGGUAAGGUGAACCCCACUUAUUUCCAGCCCAGGGAGUCUUUGUGCUGCUGAUAGAACCCCUCAUGUACAAAGUGUACAAAGUGUGAGUAACCCUCAGGGCAGCUGGUGGCACCGUGGAUCUGCUUCCAGUUGCUGAGUGAACCCUGUGCAGCCUGCCUCGCCCCCUGCUCCUUUAUAAGGGGCUCCAUGGCAGGAAAUAAAGUUUCAAGUCAG
This is an RNA transcript of Mesocricetus auratus (golden hamster), 1730 nucleotides long. It is a transcript of the gene named transmembrane protein 222, with no coding region annotated. Lineage: Eukaryota; Metazoa; Chordata; Mammalia; Rodentia; Cricetidae. The transcript is spliced from 7 exons. The record is from RefSeq and is a predicted model, not a curated record.